UACGGGGGGGGCAAGCGUUGUUCGGAAUUACUGGGCGUAAAGGGCUUGUAGGUGGCCAACUAAGUCAGACGUGAAAUCCCUCAGCUUAACUGGGGAACUGCGUCUGAUACUGGAUGGCUUGAGUUUGGGAGAGGGAUGCGGAAUUCCAGGUGUAGCGGUGAAAUGCGUAGAUAUCAGGAAGAACACCCGUGGCGAAGGCGGCUUUCUGGGACGGUACUGACGCUGAGACGCGAAAGCGUGGGGAGCGAACAGG
This 253-nucleotide ribosomal RNA is filed under the name uncultured bacterium. RNAcentral describes it as "partial 16S ribosomal RNA". It matches the Rfam family "Bacterial small subunit ribosomal RNA", at positions 524 to 776 of the family's 1533-position model. The record is from RNAcentral.